UUAGGGUUUUUCGGCGAAUUUGCCGAGAAAUAUUAGGAAUUUCCAUUGGAAGAUAAUUUAUAUGGAAUCUAGAGAUCAAAAUAAGUAUAAUGUGAGUAAGAUUGAGCAAGAAAUUAGAAUUAAAUCGGUGCUCGUAUAGAAAACGCGACAGGAGGGCAAAAUGGUCAUAUCAUAUAAAAAAUACACCAAAUCUUGUAAAAAGUAAAAUGAUUAAUUAUUUCAGAUAUGUAAUUGGUAUUACACGUCCAUCAAGUGGAGGAAAUAUGAAGAAAAUUCUAGACUUGGUUAAUUAAUUAGAAUGGUGCCACUUGUACACCUUAUCUUCCAUAAAAUUUAAUAAUGAAUUUUAGACUUAUAUAAACUACAAAUAAUAUUAUUCAUCUUCCUUCUACUUGAAAACUCUCGGCUCUCUCCCUCUUUGAAAUACAAGAAAAUUUUCUCUUCCAUUCUUGAUCAUGUCUUGAAAAGAAUUAAAGGAAAAUCAAGUGUAAAUGAUAAAGUUAAGCUACACCCAAAUGUUAGCAAAUGAAAGGAAAAAGGAUCGGCGAAAGAAGAAAUGUCGAAUGGAAAGGUUUGGAAACAACGUCAUCCAGAUGUAGUUUAUGACAUAUGUGAAGUUUUGUAUUAUUAUACCCCUCUGAUGACAUAGUUUGGAAAUUUGAAGUCGUGGACGGAGAUUUGACUACUGGUACGGGUUAAUUGGAUCAGGGAUUUCUUUGGAUAUUUCUUUCGUUUCUUUGCCAGCACUGCAUCCACGGUGGGUCACUAAUCACUGCUUGCGGCGUUUGUGUCCAUUUAUGUUAGAUGUGGCAUGUAUAGUAUUUGAACAUUUGCAAUAGCUUCCGCUGUGUUUGUAAAUAGUGUUGGAACUUUUGCUGAUAGGUUAAUGAAUUAAGUUUGGUUUUUAAUUGACCAUAAUUUAUGGCACCGUAAUUGUGACAUUUCCUAUUCGACCGUUCGCCGAUCGGGUAGGGGGUGUUACAAGUUGGUAUCAGAGCCUAGGUUUAGGUGUUCCUAGGCUCUUGGUGGGUUUGAAGUGUGUUUAGUAACAUGCCACAUAGGGUGUCGAGUCGUAUUCGAUAUCAGUGACCUGAUGCAGUGGCUACAGUAUGCCAAUAUAGAAGUUUGUCAAACGAUUAUUUGAUAAAGUAUAAAGUCUAAAGUUUAUCAAAGUACGGGACAAGAAUUCCCGUGUGACCGAGAAAUUUGGUUAUAUGGGACUGGCCACCCCACAUAACUCGAAUCUCGAUAGUGUCAUUGUCGGACAAAAAAACAAACUAAAAAUAAAUAAAUAAAUAUGAUGUCAGCUAAAAGAGUGUAAAGUAUAAAAUGAUUAGUAAGUAAAUUAUUUGCUAAUUAUGAUUUGAGAUCUGAUUUUGAUAUAUGUGAACAUGACAGUGAUGUGGAUAAUAAAUUAAUAUGGUCAUAUAAGUGUUGUGCCCUUGUUUAUGCGUUAACAUCGGGUAUAGAAAUUAUUUAUGAUAUAUGAUACAUAGUGUCAUUCUCUACAAUAUAUGGUGUGAUGGGAGGAAAUAAUAUGAUGUGACGAUUGGUGUGAUGGGAGGAUUUGAUUGACCCCAUGCGGGUGCAUUUUUUCUUUGUACGUAUACCCGUGUUUAUCGUUAAGCACACUUAGGCAAAUAAGUGAAAAUAUGUGAUAAUGUGUAUUAGCCUACGGAUAACAUAUGUGUUCUGUGAUCUGUAAAUGUGUUGGUUAUGGAUAAGAAUGGGAUAUAUCCUUCGUAUUUGAUUUUAAUAAAUCGUAUGGAUAUAUGAUGUUAAGUUUUAUACGACGAAAGCGGGCUAUCUGAAUGUGAACAUGUGAAUUGAUCGAUACCUGAUAUGGAUAAAUAUGUGUGCUCUAAAUGAGCUAUGCGUACGUGAAAAUGAAGUGUAUGAAUAUGUGACGUGAAUGGAAGUAUGAAAUCUAUAUGGAUUAUAUGAGUACUCGGAAUCGGGCAAUAUGAAAUAUGAUGUGAUGUGAUAGAGAUAUAAGCUAAGUAACUGUACAUGAUAUAAGAUAUGUGAUACAAAAUGUGGUAAGAUUAGAAUGUUAACUCCGUAAGAACUGUGUGCACUCGAAGACGAGCUAAGUGAUUAUGGAAAUUUAAAUGAAGAUUUAGAUAUGAAAUGGAAAAUUAAAAUGGGUGCUCUAAGUGAGCUAUAAUAUAUAUGAAAUGAUAUGUCUAAAAAUGUGAGUUGUAAAUGAAAUAAAUAUAUGAGUUUGAAAUUGAACUAUAUGAGGAAAAAUGGUACUAUGCUUGAAAUUAUGGAAUCCAGGGAAUCAUAUGCGUGUUUAAAAGAAUGUGAAAUGUAUUGAUGACCAAUAUAUGAUGGAAUUCGAAAAUGAAUGUGAUAUUUGACAUUAUUGCGAAUUGUGUUGAUUAUUUGGGAGAUAUUACAAUGUUGCUGUGGAUGAUUAAUUUAUUUGGAUGCUUUGCCUUUGAAUUUGAAUAUUGUUGGUUUUUGGGCAUGCUCCAUUUUUAGGGGAAAGGUUGCCCAAUUUUUGUUAGAAACUAAUGGAAUAAAUUAACUACGGAAUUAUAAUAACAAGAGAUGAUGACUGUAAUAGAAACAAUAUCCAAUAUGUGAUGAAUCAAGGUGGAAGUAUGUAGUAUGAUAAAAGGGUAUGUAAAUUGAUAUGAUAUAAGAGGACAACAUGAAUAAGUUAAAAAUGAACUAGAAUGGUGUAGGGGAUAAAUGAGUAAUAAAAAUGGUAGCAUUGUCACGUGAAUGCGAAUGGGGAAUCUGAAUGUGAAAAUGUUGAUUAUGUGAUUUUAUAUGCUAUUUGAUGAAUGAUUAUUGAAAUAUGAGCUAUGGAUUUCACAUUGGAACUUAUGCUGAAAUCUGUCAGAUAAUAAAAUGUAAAGAAGUAUGCGAUAUAAUUUGAUAAGUAUGCUUAUGUAUAUUUUUGAAUCUGUGACAUGAUGGAACUAAUAAUCUUAAUAUGAUAUAUUAGGGUGAAAUAUGAACUUAUGUGACAUUAUAUGUGAAAGGUGGAUUAUGUGAUUUGAAGUAUGAUUUUGUGGCUUGAUGCGGAAAAUGAGGAUACGCUACAAAUAGGAAAUGACGUAAUGCCAUGAAAUGACAUAAGAGAAACCAUGGCGCUUCAGGAGUAAGAAAAUCUGAUGGAAUUUCGAGGACGAAAUUCUAUUUAGGGGGGAUGAGUUGUAAUGCCCCAAAACCCACCUUAGACGGAAAAGUGAAUUUCCGGUGCUGUAAAUCGCCGAAAUUAGGGUUUUCGGCGAAUAAAUUGAAAUAAAUAACAAAAUAAAUUCUGAUAAUUCAAUAAAUCAUGGGAUACCGAAAUAUAAGUCAUAAUAAGUGUUAGAAAGGAUACGUGAGCAAAGAAUUGAGUUUUAAUGAGUUUUAGUACGUUUUUUUUAGAAAAGUCACCGAUUAGGGUUUUUCGGCGAAUUUGCCGAGAAAUAUUAGGAAUUUCCAUUGGAAGAUAAUUUAUAUGGAAUCUAGAGAUCAAAAUAAGUAUAAUGUGAGUAAGAUUGAGCAAGAAAUUAGAAUUAAAUCGGUGCUCGUAUAGAAAACGCGACAGGAGGGCAAAAUGGUCAUAUCAUAUAAAAAAUACACCAAAUCUUGUAAAAAGUAAAAUGAUUAAUUAUUUCAGAUAUGUAAUUGGUAUUACACGUCCAUCAAGUGGAGGAAAUAUGAAGAAAAUUCUAGACUUGGUUAAUUAAUUAGAAUGGUGCCACUUGUACACCUUAUCUUCCAUAAAAUUUAAUAAUGAAUUUUAGACUUAUAUAAACUACAAAUAAUAUUAUUCAUCUUCCUUCUACUUGAAAACUCUCGGCUCUCUCCCUCUUUGAAAUACAAGAAAAUUUUCUCUUCCAUUCUUGAUCAUGUCUUGAAAAGAAUUAAAGGAAAAUCAAGUGUAAAUGAUAAAGUUAAGCUACACCCAAAUGUUAGCAAAUGAAAGGAAAAAGGAUCGGCGAAAGAAGAAAUGUCGAAUGGAAAGGUUUGGAAACAACGUCAUCCAGAUGUAGUUUAUGACAUAUGUGAAGUUUUGUAUUAUUAUACCCCUCUGAUGACAUAGUUUGGAAAUUUGAAGUCGUGGACGGAGAUUUGACUACUGGGUCGAAUUCCAGGAUGUGCAUAGACUCUGUGAUGGCCAAGUCAAGCACUCACCUGAAGCAUUUUAUGCAGGUUACCUGUGGAAGGUUUGACAAAUACGUUUUCUCAUUCAAAUCUAUAAAAAUUGCCAUGUAAUUAUUCAUCAAUCAGUAAUGUUUGCUUUUGUAUAAAGUACUUUAUUUAAUUUUUUUUAUCAUUUUUUAUAUCAAAGGUAAGUGUCCAGGCUUUUAGUGAUGAAGAUCCACAGGGACGCCGUACACUUGGCUUGUUUCUUCACCGGCGCAAGGCAGAAAUCAAUGAUCCAGUGAGAAAGGUACUCAAAAGUCAUGUUUGUAUGAUACAUUUUGGGUUGCAGACACAAUCCUAAAACACAUUUGGUGCUCUGUUACCGGGAACUGAUCAUUUUAUUGGCUGAAAUGUGACUUUAACAUUCUUGGAGAACCUUGGUCUGUAAGAUCUUAGACAGCAUGAUCUCUAAAACGAAACCCCCUUAAAUUUUCUGAUACUGCUGAUAACAAACAUUACCAAUGAUGCUUGUGGAUA
Salvia splendens (bonfire salvia) is the source of this 4629-nucleotide RNA transcript. RefSeq lists it as uncharacterized. Lineage: Eukaryota; Viridiplantae; Streptophyta; Magnoliopsida; Lamiales; Lamiaceae. The record is from RefSeq and is a predicted model, not a curated record. The transcript has 8 exons.